RNAcentral lists this long non-coding RNA (5034 nucleotides) under Theobroma cacao (cacao). Its description in RNAcentral is "long non-coding RNA (TCAC_LNC001132)". Lineage: Eukaryota; Viridiplantae; Streptophyta; Magnoliopsida; Malvales; Malvaceae. The record is from RNAcentral.
AUACCAGUGUCUGGUCUUCAUUCUUUGGUAGGUGUCUAGCAGCCACUUGAUGCCUAGAGGAUCAGUCACGUUCCACUAAAGAGUUAGUCUUUCACUUUAUGUUUGUGUUUAUACACUAUGAACAUGUUUAUGUUAAUGUUGCCAUGUUGGACAUUCUAUAUUGUUAAUGUUAUGUAUGAGUUUAUGAUGAUGGCUGGAGAGCCGACAUGGACACUUGAGGGUGUUGCUGAUAGCUAAUCUUAAUGUGCUCUAUGAUACUUGCACUUUUUCAUAUUUAUUUAUACCAAAUGCUUGAGCUUAUACAAUUAAGUUGAUAAGUUUUUUAAUUGUAUAAUGAGUUUCAUGAAUGUAUUUUUUAUGAUUACAUAUGUUAAUGGAUAUUAUAUCAUUCUUUUGUGUGUGAUGAUGAAUGUUUGAGGAUGUUAUAAUGAGAGGCUUGCUUGGGCCUAACAAGUUAUGCUCAUUUGGGUCUAUGCGCCAGUUACGAUCCCUCCAGGAAAUGGGAUGUGAUGUUUCAUAAGACAAGUUGGGUGAAGAAAGAAAUCAAUUCUAAUUAGGAUUUACUCAUCAGACUACAUAAGCAACGGCCUACUUCCAUGCAGAACUAGGCAGCGUGAUAAACAUGAAAGUUGUAUCUUUUUCUCUUAACUUUCUAGUCGUCUAAGAAUCAUCUCAUUUGGAUUUCGUAAAGAGAGUUCUAUUCAAAAUACCUAAACAUGUGUAGUGGAAGUCUGCACCUUGAAUCUGCUCUCAUUUUUUCAUUAAAAGUCUUCAUUCAAUAAACACCUACAAAAGUACAAAUAAAUCAAGAACAACCUAUCUUAAGAAUAUUAACACCAAUUUAAGCAUAAAAUUAACUAAGAUUAGAUUGACUCACCUAAAUAAGUUAAAAUAAUUAGAUAAAACUUACUAAUUUCUCUGAAUUACUACAAGAACUAAACUAAUUUAUUAUCAAAAUUAAAACUAAAUAACUCUAUAUCAUAGAGUUAUUAGAGUAUGACACAAAACAAAAGGGCCGAUGCCUAUUAGAUGCCAUAUGUUCACUUACCCAAGACUGACUGAAGUAUUGUCUUUUCCUAAUAGACAACGACCCAAGCAACUAUUGAUCUACUAAACAAGUGCAUCUUACAUGUGUGAGUUAUAAAUAACUCUAUGAGCAGACACAAAGAAGGGGAACAAGCUAAAUAAAAGAGUGUUUAUCAAAGACACUUUUAAAAAUAAUGUAAGUAAUCCAUUUCAAAGCAAUAUCAAAGUUUGUAUUUCCACUAUAACGUAUAUUCAACAAUUUUGGGAAUUCAAUCCUUGAGCUAAAUCAAGUAUCUUAAGGUGCGAGUUAUGUACCUAAUAUGAUCACGUAUCAAAAUAAACUUCAAUACCAUUGUCUCGAUGGAUCGAAACUAAAUUAAAAGGAUUCUAUAAAGUUUUAUUGAAAACCUAUUCUUAAACCUUUGAAAUAAGAAUCAUGAUUUGUAAACCAUUCAAGUAUUUCCAAGAAGACAAUUUAUAAAAUCGGGUUUUAAAGCUUUCAUAAAAGAUGUUGAGGAAAACAAAGGUUUAGUUUCAAAGAAAGUGAAACAACGUUAUUAUCUAUAGAAAAACCUUGAAGGAAACGAAUGGAUUUCAAAAGUAACAUAAUUUGAAUUACAUUGAGUAAACCAAGUCCAAACACCAAAGUCAGGGUAAAUACCCAAACCAAAGAUCAAGUUCGAGACGAAUACAAAUUUAAAUGCCCUCAUCAAAGCAAAUAUCGAACUCAAGCAUCAUGGUCGAAACCAAUAUUAAAUCCAAAGACCAAAGUCUAAACAAAUAUCAAUCCCAAGUCUCAAGUCAAAAUAAUAAUAGUUUCGAAGUCUAAAAACAAUGCAAAUAUCGAAUCCAAAAUCCAUAGUGUCAAGUAUCAUUUGAAAUAGAUUGUGGAGAACUAGAUAGCAUGGACAAUCAAACCAAAGUGGUAAGAUCCAUAAUGGUCGUCGACCAUAUAUCAAGGGUGGUAGGAUCAUAUCAACUACCAAUCAAAACCAAAUCAAAAGGGUAUGACUCUGUCAACUACCUAAUCAAAGCUAAGCAUUACGCACAAUAGCUAGUGGCUACUAUCACUAGCUAUAGGUCCAUAACUCAAGUAAGCUCUACUACAAUAUUUUUAUGCCAUGUUUCCAAAUAUCCAAAUAUUCAUUUCCAAUGAAAAGAUAAAUGCAUUUACCAUGCAAGAUCAAAGGGUUCAAAACAAAAUGAAGUCAACAUGUCAAAGUUUCAUUUCCAAAAAAAGGGUGAAUCCAAUCACCAAUCAAAGGAGUGCAAACAAAACUAAGUCAAGUCAUCAAUCAUCCAAAUAACCAUAGACAAAUUAAAUUUUAAGGCAUCAAACAAUUGAUAGGCUUACUCCCUAUGCUCAAAACUAAAUAUAUACUAACAUAUUUAUGUAGUACAUGUAGAUUUCAUAAAGCAAGCUCAAAACCACUGUUCACAUCACAAAGUUUAUCAAAAUAUGUUUUAAUGCGAGGUUAUAGAAUAGGCAUGCUUAUUAAAAUAAUUAAAAAAGCCUUAUCUACCCACAUCUUGAAGGGUGCCAUUUCCUCUUGGCACUUUUCAUCAAAAGCUCAGCUGCUUUAACAAACUCAAAUUACUCGAAUAACACCUAAAAAUGUGGUUUAAUCAUCAUCAAUCUCAAAAACCCAUAAAAUUCUGAAAUACCUAGAAAACAUAUUUCUAACUUUAUUUAAUCUUCACUUAUUCCUAAUAAGUUCUAUAAAUCUUUCAUCCAACCCUCAUACCCAAUGAAUAAAAAACUUAUUUUACCUAUUUUUUCGUCUUGGUGAGCUUUGGACAAAGGGAUCCAGCCAAAUCUCGAAAGCCUAGAGAAACUUCUAUCUUUUGGAAAGAGAAAACAAAAAUCAUCAAAACCAAGUUUUUGGGAGUGAAAAUCCUUACCUUUAGCACUUAUAAUCCAAGAUUGGUUUGUCAUGACCCAAAUUCGAGGGUCAUGACCGGUGCACAAGCUCAGCAGCCAAGCCUACUAGACUUGAGUAGGUCUUAAAGUUCAUAUUCAAACAUACAUAGGCGAAGGGAUUCGAUCAUCAAAUAUUCAUAAUAAAUUUGAAUAAAAUACAAUGUCCCUGACUUAAUUUCCAUACAAAUAGUAAUAGGGCCAUACAUUAGCCAUCCAAACAAGUUUAUACAUAGUAAUCCGUACUACACAAUAUAACAAGGCAAAAUCAGUCUUGUUGCAUUAAAAUCAAUUCACAUGCAAAUGGGAAAUUUUCAAGAUUUAUCAUGCCAUAUAAUCACAUAUUAUAAUCAUAAUAUUUCUAUUGCAUAUACAUAUGCUUAAGCAUAUAUCAAUUAAUAUACCACCACACCUCAUCCAGCCUAUGUACAUCAUCACUGGCAUGUGCACUACCCACUCUGCACAUGCACAGUUGUAAUUAUCACGACAUCAUCAUUACCGGCAUGUGCACUACCCACUCCACACAUGCAUGGUUGUAAUUAUCACGACAGCAUCAUUACCGGCAUGUGUACUGCCCACUCCGCACAUGCACGGUUGUAAUUAUCACGACAGCAUCAUUACCGGCAUGCGCAUUGCCCACUCCACACCUGCACGAUUGCAUUUGUCACACAAUGGUACCAUUUAUGGCAUAGUAUAUAUAUAUAUAUCAUUAUACAGAAACAUAUGAAUUCAUCACACUAUCCAUUUCAUAACAUAAAAACAUUUCAUAAGGGCUUGUUCCCGUGCAAGUUUUUGAAGAAAAACCAAUAAAAAUGUUUUAGAGGAUUCAAUCAAACAUAAACAUGCAUAUACCAAGACAUUUUAAUGCAAGUUCACUCACCUGGCAACAAUGAGAUUUUAAAUCGCUAUUUAUUCGAAGGUGUCUCUAACUAUUUUCACUGGUAGGUCGCUCGUUAUUUACUCCAGCAUGCCACCACAGUUCUCUAACUUUAUCUUUGCACUUCCUAGCAAUAUUACGAACUCAAUAUAUUUAAUUACAUACGUAUACGGGCAACACCUCAAUCAAUUAAUCCUUACUCAAAUUUAUAUUUUCAUCCUAUCAUGAAAUCAUCUUCAAUUAACUCACAUCUUAAUACAUUUUUACCAAAAUUACUUACAUCCAUUGCUUACGAAAUUCCUUAGAUUAUAUCACUGGCAACUUAUUUAUGAUGUCACGUGCCUACUUCAACCUUUCUAAAUAAUUUUUGCCUAAAUCCAUCUUAUAUUUCCACACAUAAUCCACAUAUAUGGCAACAACAAUUAUUCUCACUUUCACUCAAUUAUUUCCUAGUUUACACACAUUGUUAUCUACCUAACUUUCAAUACUUUGUUUCUUAAUCCUCCAUCCACAAUAUUCCUUUUUUUAUUUCUUUCAAACAACAUGCCAUACAAUCUUAACAAUUUUCAACUAGCUUAGGCAAAUAAAUCCUUUCAACAACCAUAGUUCCUCACAAUAUUCCACUAACUGUAGGCUUUAAAACAUAGUGUUAAUCUUACCGUUUUCCUUUUCCACUUUCAAUCCUUCAUGUACCCAUGGGUUUAUUAGCUUACAUGUUACCAAUUUUUCUCCAAUGAAGCCAAUCUUUGCUGCCACUAGACAUUUCUCUAAGUCACUAACUCAUUUUCAAAUACUACUCAAGCCAAAAAUAAGAAUUCUUACCGUUCCUUGCUUGAAUCACCAAAACCAAGCUUUUUCUUCCUUUCUCUCUUUUUCUUUCUUCUCCUCUUAGGGUUUUGGUGUGCUGGAAAUUGGGGUUAAAGGCUGCAAAGUUAAUGGUCAAGAAGUUUGGAGAAGAAAGGAAAAGAAAACAUAGAAAGGAAAGUGAAGAAAACUUGAUUUCAUGGUGGAUAAAGAGAAAAUGGCAUGGAAGCUUCAAGAAUGGCAUGGAGCAUGGAUGAAGAAGAAGAAAAAUCUGCUGGGGGAAAGGAUAAGGUCAAUCUUUGCCUAAAAAAAUCAGAGUCAAAGCUUCCUUUGGAAGCUUUGACCAAACUUUACAUAAAAUUACUGUUUUGCCCUAUUUUUGUUUCCUUCCAUUUUAUUUUAGUCCUCC